GGUAUAGCUCAGUGGUAAAGCCCUUGCUUAGCAAGCAUGAGGCACUGGGUUCAAUCCUCUGUACC
Molecule: transfer RNA, 65 nt
Filed under: Ictidomys tridecemlineatus (thirteen-lined ground squirrel)
Lineage: Eukaryota; Metazoa; Chordata; Mammalia; Rodentia; Sciuridae
Description: Spermophilus tridecemlineatus (thirteen-lined ground squirrel) tRNA
Rfam family: tRNA
About the family: Transfer RNA (tRNA) molecules are approximately 80 nucleotides in length. Their secondary structure includes four short double-helical elements and three loops (D, anti-codon, and T loops). Further hydrogen bonds mediate the characteristic L-shaped molecular structure. tRNAs have two regions of fundamental functional importance: the anti-codon, which is responsible for specific mRNA codon recognition, and the 3' end, to which the tRNAs corresponding amino acid is attached (by aminoacyl-tRNA synthetases). tRNAs cope with the degeneracy of the genetic code in two manners: having more than one tRNA (with a specific anti-codon) for a particular amino acid; and 'wobble' base-pairing, i.e. permitting non-standard base-pairing at the 3rd anti-codon position.
Source: Rfam by way of RNAcentral